Molecule: transfer RNA, 77 nt
Filed under: bacterium
Lineage: Bacteria
Also listed under: 1 other name
Description: tRNA-Val
Rfam family: tRNA
About the family: Transfer RNA (tRNA) molecules are approximately 80 nucleotides in length. Their secondary structure includes four short double-helical elements and three loops (D, anti-codon, and T loops). Further hydrogen bonds mediate the characteristic L-shaped molecular structure. tRNAs have two regions of fundamental functional importance: the anti-codon, which is responsible for specific mRNA codon recognition, and the 3' end, to which the tRNAs corresponding amino acid is attached (by aminoacyl-tRNA synthetases). tRNAs cope with the degeneracy of the genetic code in two manners: having more than one tRNA (with a specific anti-codon) for a particular amino acid; and 'wobble' base-pairing, i.e. permitting non-standard base-pairing at the 3rd anti-codon position.
Source: RNAcentral
GGGAGAUUAGCUCAGCUGGUUAGAGUACUUGCUCGACACGCAAGGGGUCACUGGUUCGAAUCCAGUAUCUCCCACCA